ACUAGCUGUUCUUCCCUAACAACAGAAUUUUACGACCCGAAGGCCUUCAUCAUUCACGCGGCAUUGCUCGGUCAGGCUUUCGCCCAUUGCCGAAAAUUCCCUA
Molecule: ribosomal RNA, 103 nt
Filed under: uncultured bacterium
Lineage: Bacteria
Description: partial 16S ribosomal RNA
Source: RNAcentral